CGUGUAGGCGGCCGAUUAAGUAUGAAGUGAAAGUCCUGCUUUCAAGGUGGGAAUUGCUUUGUAGACUGGUUGGCUUGAGUGCGGAAGAGGUAAGUGGAAUUCCCAGUGUAGCGGUGAAAUGCGUAGAGAUUGGGAGGAACACCAGUGGCGAAGGCGACUUACUGGGCCGUAACUGACGCUGAGGCGCGAAAGCGUGGGGAGCGAACA
This 207-nucleotide ribosomal RNA is filed under the name uncultured bacterium. Its description in RNAcentral is "partial 16S ribosomal RNA". It matches the Rfam family "Bacterial small subunit ribosomal RNA", at positions 568 to 774 of the family's 1533-position model. The record is from RNAcentral.